GAAAACUUGACAGUCAAACUAACAAAGGUAUGAUAGUGGUAGUAAAAUCAAAGUUUAGACAUAUGACUGAUACGAAAAAAACUUUUUGUAGCAAAUUCUGAAUUUCGAAAAACUUUCGGGUAGUAAAGUGAAAUUUACCAUUUGGAAAAAUAUUAACAAAAUGUAUUAACUCCCCAAAACUAAUUGCUACUUCCAAAAGAUCAUAAUCAGUGACAACACUUACGACUGCAUGACUUUAAGACGGUAGUGAAUAUUACAC
This 259-nucleotide long non-coding RNA is filed under the name Prunus persica (peach). RNAcentral's name for it is "long non-coding RNA (PPER_LNC004955)". The record is from RNAcentral. Lineage: Eukaryota; Viridiplantae; Streptophyta; Magnoliopsida; Rosales; Rosaceae.